GAUGAACGCUGGCGGCGUGCCUAAUACAUGCAAGUCGAGCGAACAGACGAGGAGCUUGCUCCUCUGACGUUAGCGGCGGACGGGUGAGUAACACGUGGAUAACCUACCUAUAAGACUGGGAUCACUUCGGGAAACCGGAGCUAAUACCGGAUAAUCUAUUGAACCGCAUGGUUCAAUAGUGAAAGACGGUUUUGCUGUCACUUAUAGAUGGAUCCGCGCCGCAUUAGCUAGUUGGUAAGGUAACGGCUUACCAAGGCAACGAUGCGUAGCCGACGUGAGAGGGUGAUCGGCCACACUGGAACUGGGACACGGACCAGACUCCUACGGGAGGCAGCAGUAGGGAAUCUUCCGCAAUGGGCGAAAGCUUGACGGAGCAACGCCGCGUGAGUGAUGAAGGUCUUCGGAGCGUAAAACUCUGUUAUUAGGGAAGAACAAAUGUGUAAGUAACUAUGCACGUCUUGACGGUACCUAAUCAGAAAGCCACGGCUAACUACGUG
Molecule: ribosomal RNA, 497 nt
Filed under: uncultured bacterium
Lineage: Bacteria
Description: partial 16S ribosomal RNA
Rfam family: Bacterial small subunit ribosomal RNA
Source: RNAcentral